RNAcentral lists this ribosomal RNA (497 nucleotides) under uncultured bacterium. Its description in RNAcentral is "partial 16S ribosomal RNA". It matches the Rfam family "Bacterial small subunit ribosomal RNA", at positions 28 to 507 of the family's 1533-position model. The record is from RNAcentral.
GAUGAACGCUGGCGGCGUGCCUAAUACAUGCAAGUCGAGCGAACAGACGAGGAGCUUGCUCCUCUGACGUUAGCGGCGGACGGGUGAGUAACACGUGGAUAACCUACCUAUAAGGCUGGGAUAACUUCGGGAAACCGAAGCUAAUACCGGAUAAUAUAUUGAACCGCAUGGUUCAAUAGUGAAAGACGGUUUUGCUGUCACUUAUAGAUGGAUCCGCGCCGCAUUAGCUAGUUGGUAAGGUAACGGCUUACCAAGGCGACGAUGCGUAGCCGACCUGAGAGGGUGAUCGGCCACACUGGAACUGAGACACGGUCCAGACUCCUACGGGAGGCAGCAGUAGGGAAUCUUCCGCAAUGGGCGAAAGCCUGACGGAGCAACGCCGCGUGAGUGAUGAAGGUCUUCGGAUCGUAAAACUCUGUUAUUAGGGAAGAACAAAUGUGUAAGUAACUAUGCACGUCUUGACGGUACCUAAUCAGAAAGCCACGGCUAACUACGUG